RNAcentral lists this ribosomal RNA (1384 nucleotides) under uncultured bacterium. RNAcentral's name for it is "partial 16S ribosomal RNA". It matches the Rfam family "Bacterial small subunit ribosomal RNA". The record is from RNAcentral.
AGAGUUUGAUCCUGGCUCAGGAUGAACGCUGGCGGCGUGCUUAACACAUGCAAGUCGAACGGGAAACUUUUCAUUGAAGCUUCGGCAGAUUUGGUCUGUUUCUAGUGGCGGACGGGUGAGUAACGCGUGGGUAACCUGCCUUAUACAGGGGGAUAACAACCAGAAAUGGUUGCUAAUACCGCAUAAGCGCACAGGACCGCAUGGUCCGGUGUGAAAAACUCCGGUGGUAUAAGAUGGACCCGCGUUGGAUUAGCUAGUUGGCAGGGUAACGGCCUACCAAGGCGACGAUCCAUAGCCGGCCUGAGAGGGUGAACGGCCACAUUGGGACUGAGACACGGCCCAGACUCCUACGGGAGGCAGCAGUGGGGAAUAUUGCACAAUGGGGGAAACCCUGAUGCAGCGACGCCGCGUGAAGGAAGAAGUAUCUCGGUAUGUAAACUUCUAUCAGCAGGGAAGAUAGUGACGGUACCUGACUAAGAAGCCCCGGCUAACUACGUGCCAGCAGCCGCGGUAAUACGUAGGGGGCAAGCGUUAUCCGGAUUUACUGGGUGUAAAGGGAGCGUAGACGGACUGGCAAGUCUGAUGUGAAAGGCGGGGGCUCAACCCCUGGACUGCAUUGGAAACUGUUAGUCUUGAGUGCCGGAGAGGUAAGCGGAAUUCCUAGUGUAGCGGUGAAAUGCGUAGAUAUUAGGAAGAACUCCGAUUGCGAAGGCAGCCUGCUAAGCUGCAACUGACAUUGAGGCUCGAAAGUGUGGGUAUCAAACAGGAUUAGAUACCCUGGUAGUCCACACGGUAAACGAUGAAUACUCGCUGUUUGCGAUAUACUGCAAGCGGCCAAGCGAAAGCGUUAAGUAUUCCACCUGGGGAGUACGCCGGCAACGGUGAAACUCAAAGGAAUUGACGGGGGCCCGCACAAGCGGAGGAACAUGUGGUUUAAUUCGAUGAUACGCGAGGAACCUUACCCGGGCUUAAAUUGCAGAUGAAUUACGGUGAAAGCCGUAAGCCGCAAGGCAUCUGUGAAGGUGCUGCAUGGUUGUCGUCAGCUCGUGCCGUGAGGUGUCGGCUUAAGUGCCAUAACGAGCGCAACCCUUGUUGUCAGUUACUAACAGGUUCCGCUGAGGACUCUGACAAGACUGCCAUCGUAAGAUGUGAGGAAGGUGGGGAUGACGUCAAAUCAGCACGGCCCUUACGUCCGGGGCUACACACGUGUUACAAUGGGGGGUACAGAGGGCCGCUACCACGCGAGUGGAUGCCAAUCCCAAAAACCUCUCUCAGUUCGGACUGGAGUCUGCAACCCGACUCCACGAAGCUGGAUUCGCUAGUAAUCGCGCAUCAGCCACGGCGCGGUGAAUACGUUCCCGGGCCUUGUACUCACCGCCCGUCA